CCCUUAGAUGUUCUGGGCCGCACGCGUGCUACACUGAGUAAUUCAAUGGGUAAGGGAACGCUAGAGCAUUACCUAAUCUUGAAAUUUGCUCGUGAUGGGGAUCGACGGUUGCAAUUUUCCGUCGUGAACGAGGAAUACCUUGUAGACGCAUGUCAUCAUCAUGCGCCGAAUACGUCCCUGCCCUUUGUACACACCGCCCGUCGCUCCUACCGAUUGAGUGAUCCGGUGAGGCUCUGGGACCUGGACGGAAAGAGCGCUUCGCUUGUUCUGUUUGGGAAACUUGGUCGAACCUUAUCAUUUAGAGGAAGGAGAAGUCGUAACA
This 322-nucleotide ribosomal RNA is filed under the name uncultured eukaryote. RNAcentral's name for it is "partial 18S ribosomal RNA". It matches the Rfam family "Eukaryotic small subunit ribosomal RNA", at positions 1470 to 1796 of the family's 1831-position model. The record is from RNAcentral.